GGAUCCUUGGCAGGCAAGUCCUUGGCAGGAGUGGGAAGAGGAAAAAUCCGUAUCAGUUGCUGGUGUUUAAGAGUUUCUAGAUCUAAUGUAUUCUCGAAGGUGGGCAACUCGAUGCUAAAAAAUGGGAAGAAAGAGGCCACAACAUACACCAUUGUGGAUGGAAUGAAGGAAACCUCUUUGAAAUGGUACAGAAUCCUACAGAUGGAAGAGUGGUUUUUCAUGAAGUCCUUUUAUGGUUCUUCUGCUGGAUCAGUGCUUUUUGAGGUAUGAA
This is a non-coding RNA of Pogona vitticeps (central bearded dragon), 271 nucleotides long. Lineage: Eukaryota; Metazoa; Chordata; Lepidosauria; Squamata; Agamidae. The record is from RefSeq and is a predicted model, not a curated record.